GACGGACGCUGGCGGCAUGCCUAACACAUGCAAGUCGAACGGAGAUUACUUCGGUAAUCUUAGUGGCGAACGGGUGAGUAACGCGUAGGCAACCUGCCCUCUAGAUGGGGACAACAUCCCGAAAGGGGUGCUAAUACCGAAUGUGACAGCUUUUCUGCAUGGAAGAGCUGUGAAAGAUGGCCUCUAUUUAUAAGCUAUCGCUAGAGGAUGGGCCUGCGUCUGAUUAGCUAGUCGGUGGGGUAACGGCUCACCAAGGCGAUGAUCAGUAGCCGGUCUGAGAGGAUGAACGGCCACAUUGGGACUGAGACACGGCCCAGACUCCUACGUGAGGCAGCAGUGGGGAAUUUUGGACAAUGGGGGCAACCCUGAUCCAGCCAUGCCGCGUGAGUGAAGAAGGCCUUCGGGUUGUAAAGCUCUUUCGGCCGGGAAGAAAUCGCACAGGCUAAUACCCUGUGUGGAUGACGGUACCGGCAUAAGAAGCACCGGCUAACUACGUGCCAGCAGCCGCCGUAA
This 513-nucleotide ribosomal RNA is filed under the name uncultured bacterium. Its description in RNAcentral is "partial 16S ribosomal RNA". It matches the Rfam family "Bacterial small subunit ribosomal RNA", at positions 28 to 523 of the family's 1533-position model. The record is from RNAcentral.